ACGGGUGAGUAACACGUGGGUAACCUGCCCAAGAGACUGGGAUAACACCUGGAAACAGAUGCUAAUACCGGAUAACAACACUAGACGCAUGUCUAGAGUUUAAAAGAUGGUUCUGCUAUCACUCUUGGAUGGACCUGCGGCGCAUUAGCUAGUUGGUAAGGUAACGGCUUACCAAGGCAAUGAUGCAUAGCCGAGUUGAGAGACUGAUCGGCCACAUUGGGACUGAGACACGGCCCAAACUCCUACGGGAGGCAGCAGUAGGGAAUCUUCCACAAUGGACGCAAGUCUGAUGGAGCAACGCCGCGUGAGUGAAGAAGGGUUUCGGCUCGUAAAGCUCUGUUGGUAGUGAAGAAAGAUAGAGGUAGUAACUGGCCUUUAUUUGACGGUAAUUACCUAGAAAGUCACGGCUAACUACGUGCCAGCAGCCGCGGUAAUACGUAGGUGGCAAGCGUUGUCCGGAUUUAUUGGGCGUAAAGCGAGUGCAGGCGGUUCAAUAAGUCUGAUGUGAAAGCCUUCGGCUCAACCGGAGAAUUGCAUCAGAAACUGUUGAACUUGAGUGCAGAAGAGGAGAGUGGAACUCCAUGUGUAGCGGUGGAAUGCGUAGAUAUAUGGAAGAACACCAGUGGCGAAGGCGGCUCUCUGGUCUGCAACUGACGCUGAGGCUCAAAAGCAUGGGUAGCGAACAGGAUUAGAUACCCUGGUAGUCCAUGCCGUAAACGAUGAGUGCUAAGUGUUGGGAGGUUUCCGCCUCUCAGUGCUGCAGCUAACG
Molecule: ribosomal RNA, 769 nt
Filed under: uncultured bacterium
Lineage: Bacteria
Description: bacterial SSU rRNA
Rfam family: Bacterial small subunit ribosomal RNA
Source: RNAcentral